Molecule: RNA transcript, 1655 nt
Organism: Fragaria vesca subsp. vesca
Lineage: Eukaryota; Viridiplantae; Streptophyta; Magnoliopsida; Rosales; Rosaceae
Gene name: pentatricopeptide repeat-containing protein At1g59720, mitochondrial-like
Exons: 1
Source: RefSeq, a predicted model, not a curated record
AUGGCUCUGGCAUUCCCACCAAAUCCUCCUCCUCCUCCUCCUCAUCUCACUAACACCAAUAAUGGAGACUCACUCUCACUCUGCCACCACAGCCGUCUUCUCCGCUUGUUGAAUGAAUGUACGGACAUGUCUCAGCUGAAACAAAUACACGCUCACACACUGCGCACCACAUCCACCACACACCCACACACCCUCUUUCUCCAUAGCCGAAUCCUCCAUUUCUCAUCCUCAGCCGAUCUCCGCUACGCCUUUCGGGUUUUCCAUCAGAUUCAGAAUCCCAAUUCUUUCGCGUGGAACACCCUCAUCAGGGGUUGUGCUCGAAGCUCUGAGCUCGAAAACCAGGCCUUAUUACUUUACUGUAAAAUGUUAUCACAAGGAGAUCCUAUGCCGGACGAGUUUACGUUCCCCUUUGUUCUCAGAGCUUGUGCUUACUUGUUUGCCUUAUCAAAAGGGGAACAAUUGCACGCUCAUGUUGUUAAGUUUGGAUUUGAUUCAGACGUUUACAUCGGCAAUGGUCUGAUUCAUCUUUAUGCUUCUUGUGGGUGUUUGGAUCAUGCACGUAAGGUGUUUGAGAAAAUGACUGAAAGAAGCAUUGUGUCGUGGAACGUUAUGAUUGAUUCUUUGGUCGGGGCCGGCGAGUUUGAGACUUCGUUGAAAGUGUUUGGUCAGAUGCAGAAGCUGUUUGAGCCUGAUGGGUAUACAAUGCAGAGUAUUAUAAAUGCUUGUGCUGGUUUGGGGGCUAUGUAUCUAGGAAUGUGGGCUCAUGCCUAUGUGUUGAGGAAAUGUGAUAAUGCCGUAGCUAGCAAUUUGUUGGUGAAUUCUUCGUUGGUUGAUAUGUAUUGCAAAUGUGGGUCCUUGGACAUGGCUCUCCAAGUGUUCGAGAGAAUGCCUAAACGCGAUGUGAUUACAUGGAAUUAUAUGAUUCUGGGAUCUGCCAUGCAUGGAAAAGCUGUGGCAGCUUUAAAGUGUUUUGAUCGUAUGAUUAAUACGGAGAGUUGUAAGCCAAAUUCCAUCACAUUCGUUGGUGUUUUGAGUGCAUGCAAUCACAGAGGCAUGGUUAGCAAAGGUAGAAAGUUCUUUGAUAUGAUGGUAAAAGAGUAUAAGAUUGAACCACGAUUAGAGCACUACGGGUGCCUCAUUGAUCUUCUUGCACGUGCCGGUUUCAUUGACGAAGCUUUGAAUUUGGUGUCAUCAAUGCCCAUGAAGCCUGAUGCCGUUAUAUGGAGGUGUCUUCUUGAUGCUUGCAGUAAGCAACCACAUGCCAGUAUUGAGCUAAGUGAAGAAGUGGCCAUGCAGAUCCUUGAGUCUGGAGGAGAGGGCAUUUCUAGUGGUGUUUACGUGCUAUUGUCAAGAGUCUAUGCUUCAGCUAGCCGCUGGAACGACGUUGGAUCAAUUCGGAAAUUGAUGACAGAGGAGGGUAUAGCAAAAGAGCCUGGUUGUAGUUUGAUAGACAUAGACGGUAUUACGCAUGAAUUUUUUGCUGGUGACACAUCUCAUCCCUGUAGUAGAGAAAUAUAUCAUGUCCUGGAUGCGUUGAAUGGAAUACUCAAAUAGUUGCAUGCACCUGCCUGACUAUUCACAGGCACCUAUGGUUAAUUAGAAGAGUAAUGGAAAAUAGCACACAUCCCAGUCUGCGACUUCACUAUGAGCACUAG